AACCUAGCACACCUGCGGUGUGUACCUGCGGAGGGAUCAUUACCUAUUUGGCCUUUGUGGCUACGCUCGGGGGGCCUUUGGCCCCCGUCUGCACCCUUGUCUUUGCGCACUCAUGUUUCCUCGGUGGGCUUGCCUGCCGCUAGGACAACCUAAACUCUUGAAUUUUCAAUCAGCGUCUGAUAACAAUAAUAUUUACAACUUUCAGCAAUGGAUCU
RNAcentral lists this unclassified non-coding RNA (215 nucleotides) under soil metagenome. RNAcentral's name for it is "partial contains 5.8S ribosomal RNA, internal transcribed spacer 2, and large subunit ribosomal RNA". The record is from RNAcentral.